AGUGAACGCUGGCGGUAUGCCUAACACAUGCAAGUCGAACGGCAGCACAGUAAGAGCUUGCUCUUACGGUUGGCGAGUGGCGGACGGGUGAGGAAUACAUCGGAAUCUACUUUUUCGUGGGGGAUAACGUAGGGAAACUUACGCUAAUACCGCAUACGACCUACGGGUGAAAGCAGUGGAUCUUCGGACCUUGCGCGAUUGAAUGAGCCGAUGUCGGAUUAGCUAGUUGGCGGGGUAAAGGCCCACCAAGGCGACGAUCCGUAGCUGGUCUGAGAGGAUGAUCAGCCACACUGGAACUGAGACACGGUCCAGACUCCUACGGGAGGCAGCAGUGGGGAAUAUUGGACAAUGGGCGCAAGCCUGAUCCAGCAAUACCGCGUGGGUGAAGAAGGCCUUCGGGUUGUAAAGCCCUUUUGUUGGGAAAGAAAAGCAGCAGGUUAAUACCCCGCUGUUCUGACGGUACCCAAAGAAUAAGCAACGGCUAACUUCGUG
Molecule: ribosomal RNA, 492 nt
Filed under: uncultured bacterium
Lineage: Bacteria
Description: partial 16S ribosomal RNA
Rfam family: Bacterial small subunit ribosomal RNA
Source: RNAcentral